RNAcentral lists this ribosomal RNA (494 nucleotides) under uncultured bacterium. Its description in RNAcentral is "partial 16S ribosomal RNA". It matches the Rfam family "Bacterial small subunit ribosomal RNA", at positions 31 to 507 of the family's 1533-position model. The record is from RNAcentral.
GAACGCUGGCGGCGUGCCUAAUACAUGCAAGUCGAGCGAACAGACGAGGAGCUUGCUCCUCUGACGUUAGCGGCGGACGGGUGAGUAACACGUGGAUAACCUACCUAUAAGACUGGGAUAACUUCGGGAAACCGGAGCUAAUACCGGAUAAUAUAUUUAACCGCAUGGUUCAAUAGUGAAAGACGGUUUUGCUGUCACUUAUAGAUGGAUCCGCGCCGCAUUAGCUAGUUGGUAAGGUAACGGCUUACCAAGGCAACGAUGCGUAGCCGACCUGAGAGGGUGAUCGGCCACACUGGAACUGAGACACGGUCCAGACUCCUACGGGAGGCAGCAGUAGGGAAUCUUCCGCAAUGGGCGAAAGCCUGACGGAGCAACGCCGCGUGAGUGAUGAAGGUCUUCGGAUCGUAAAACUCUGUUAUUAGGGAAGAACAAAUGUGUAAGUAACUAUGCACGUCUUGACGGUACCUAAUCAGAAAGCCACGGCUAACUACGUG